AUUGAACGCUGGCGGCAGGCCUAACACAUGCAAGUCGAACGGUAGCACAGAGAGCUUGCUCUCGGGUGACGAGUGGCGGACGGGUGAGUAACGUCUGGGAAACUGCCCGAUGGAGGGGGAUAACUACUGGAAACGGUAGCUAAUACCGCAUAACGCCGCAAGACCAAAGUGGGGGACCUUCGGGCCUGACACCAUCGGAAGUGCCCUGAUGGGAUUAGCUAGUAUGUGGGGUAAUGGCUCACCUAGGCGAAGAUCCCUAGCUGGUCUGAGAGGAUGACCAGCCACACUGGAACUGAGACACGGUCCAGACUCCUACGGGAGGCAGCAGUGGGGAAUAUUGCACAAUGGGCGCAAGCCUGAUGCAGCCAUGCCGCGCGUAUGAAGAAGGCCUUCGGGUUGUAAAGUACUUUCAGCGGGGAGGAAGGCGGUGAAGUUAAUAGCUUCACCGAUUGACGUUACCCGCAGAAGAAGCACCGGCUAACUCCGUGCCAGCAGCCGCGGUAA
RNAcentral lists this ribosomal RNA (504 nucleotides) under uncultured bacterium. RNAcentral describes it as "partial 16S ribosomal RNA". It matches the Rfam family "Bacterial small subunit ribosomal RNA", at positions 29 to 523 of the family's 1533-position model. The record is from RNAcentral.